ACGAACGCUGGCGGCGUGCUUAACACCUGCAAGUCGAACGGGAUUUAGUAGACAGAAGCCUCGGCUAAAGAUUACUAAUGAGAGUGGCGAACGGGUGAGUAACGCGUGAGCAACCUGCCUAUGACAGUGGGAUAGCCUCGGGAAACCGGGAUUAAUACCGCAUAAAAUCGUAGAAACACAUGUUUUAACGGUCAAAGAUUUAUCGGUCAUAGAUGGGCUCGCGUCUGAUUAGCUAGUUGGUGAGAUAACAGCCCACCAAGGCGACGAUCAGUAGCCGGUCUGAGAGGAUGAACGGCCACAUUGGAACUGAGACACGGUCCAAACUCCUACGGGAGGCAGCAGUGGGGAAUAUUGCACAAUGGGGGAAACCCUGAUGCAGCGACGCCGCGUGAACGAAGAAGGUAUUCGUAUCGUAAAGUUCUGUCCUAUGGGAAGAUAAUGACAGUACCAUAGAAGAAAGCUCCGGCUAAAUACGUG
RNAcentral lists this ribosomal RNA (477 nucleotides) under uncultured bacterium. RNAcentral describes it as "partial 16S ribosomal RNA". It matches the Rfam family "Bacterial small subunit ribosomal RNA", at positions 29 to 507 of the family's 1533-position model. The record is from RNAcentral.